Molecule: non-coding RNA, 946 nt
Filed under: Acentrogobius chlorostigmatoides (greenspot goby)
Lineage: Eukaryota; Metazoa; Chordata; Actinopteri; Gobiiformes; Gobiidae
Description: 12S ribosomal RNA
Rfam family: Bacterial small subunit ribosomal RNA
Source: RNAcentral
CAUAAGCUUGGUCCUGACUUUACUUUCAGCUUUGAUAAAACUUAUACAUGCAAGUAUCCGCACCCCCGUGAGAAUGCCCUAGCUACACCACCCUAGGAAGAUAGGAGCCGGUAUCAGGCACAACACUGUUAGCCCACGACACCUUGCUUAGCCACACCCCCACGGGUAUUCAGCAGUAAUAGACAUUAAGCCAUGAGUGAAAGCUCGACUUAGUUAUAUCAAGAGGGCCGGUUAAACUCGUGCCAGCCACCGCGGUUAUACGAGAGGCCCAAGUUGAUAGAGAUCGGCAUAAAGCGUGGUUAAUAUAAAUAUAAACUAAAGCCGAACACCUUCAAAGCCGUUAUACGCACCCGAAGACAGGAAGACCCUUAACGAAAGUGGCUUUAAUCAAUAUGAACCCACGAAAGCUAGGACACAAACUGGGAUUAGAUACCCCACUAUGCCUAGCCCUAAACACAGAUAUUUUACCACACAAAUAUUCGCCAGGGAACAACGAGCCCCAGCUUAAAACCCAAAGGACUUGGCGGUGCUUUAGACCCCCCUAGAGGAGCCUGUUCUAGGACCGAUACUCCCCGUUCAACCUCACCCUCUCUUGUCUUCCCCGCCUAUAUACCGCCGUCGUCAGCUUACCCUGUGAAGGCCUAAUAGUAAGCAGAAUUGGUACAACCCAAAACGUCAGGUCGAGGUGUAGCGCACGAGAGGGGAAGAAAUGGGCUACAUUUACUGAGCCAGUAAACACGAAUGUUGCACUGAAACGAGCAUCUGAAGGAGGAUUUAGCAGUAAGGAGGGAAUAGAGCGCCCUCCUGAAAAUGGCCCUGAAGCGCGCACACACCGCCCGUCACUCUCCCCGAAAAACAUUAGACAAAUAAAUAAUAAUAAUUGCAAACACAAGGGGAGGCAAGUCGUAACAUGGUAAGUGUACCGGAAGGUGCACUUGGAAAAACC